Molecule: ribosomal RNA, 468 nt
Filed under: uncultured bacterium
Lineage: Bacteria
Description: partial 16S ribosomal RNA
Rfam family: Bacterial small subunit ribosomal RNA
Source: RNAcentral
GACGAACGCUGGCGGCGUGCUUAACACAUGCAAGUCGAACGGAAAGGCCCUGCUUUUGUGGGGUGCUCGAGUGGCGAACGGGUGAGUAACACGUGAGUAACCUGCCCUUGACUUUGGGAUAACUUCAGGAAACUGGGGCUAAUACCGGAUAGGAGCUCCUGCUGCAUGGUGGGGGUUGGAAAGUUUCGGCGGUUGGGGAUGGACUCGCGGCUUAUCAGCUUGUUGGUGGGGUAGUGGCUUACCAAGGCUUUGACGGGUAGCCGGCCUGAGAGGGUGAACGGCCACAUGGGGACUGAGAGACGGCCCAGACGCCUACGGGAGGCAGCAGUGGGGAAUAUUGCACAAUGGGCGGAAGUCUGAGGCAGCAACGUCGCGAGCGGGAUGACGGCCUUCGGGUUGUAAACCGCUGUCGGCUGUGACGAAGCGGGAGUGACGGUAAUGGGUAAAGAAGCACCGGCUAACUACGUG